This 275-nucleotide ribosomal RNA is filed under the name uncultured bacterium. Its description in RNAcentral is "partial 16S ribosomal RNA". It matches the Rfam family "Bacterial small subunit ribosomal RNA", at positions 399 to 691 of the family's 1533-position model. The record is from RNAcentral.
GCGUGAGUGACGAAGGCCUUAGGGUCGUAAAGCUCUUUCAACUGUGAAGAUAAUGACGGUAGCAGUAGAAGAAACCCCGGCUAACUCCGUGCCAGCAGCCGCGGUAAUACGGAGGGGGUUAGCGUUGUUCGGAAUUACUGGGCGUAAAGCGCACGUAGGCGGACUAUUAAGUCAGAGGUGAAAUCCCAGGGCUCAACCCUGGAACUGCCUUUGAUACUGGUAGUCUGGAGUUCGAGAGAGGUGAGUGGAAUUCCGAGUGUAGAGGUGAAAUUCGU